RNAcentral lists this ribosomal RNA (384 nucleotides) under uncultured Microbacteriaceae bacterium. RNAcentral's name for it is "bacterial SSU rRNA". It matches the Rfam family "Bacterial small subunit ribosomal RNA", at positions 30 to 410 of the family's 1533-position model. Lineage: Bacteria; Bacillati; Actinomycetota; Actinomycetes; Micrococcales; Microbacteriaceae. The record is from RNAcentral.
UGAACGCUGGCGGCGUGCUUAACACAUGCAAGUCGAACGAUGAAGCUGGAGCUUGCUCCGGCGGAUUAGUGGCGAACGGGUGAGUAACACGUGAGCGAAUCUGCCCUUGACUCUGGGAUAACUGCGGGAAACUGUAGCUAAUACCGGAUACGACGCCUUGGGGCAUCCCACGGGCGUGGAAAGAAUUUCGGUCAAGGAUGAGCUCGCGGACCUAUCAGCUAGUUGGUGAGGUAAUGGCUCACCAAGGCGACGACGGGUAGCCGGCCUGAGAGGGUGACCGGCCACACUGGGACUGAGACACGGCCCAGACUCCUACGGGAGGCAGCAGUGGGGAAUAUUGCGCAAUGGGCGAAAGCCUGACGCAGCAACGCCGCGUGAGGGAUG